GUGUGUGUGUGUGUCUAUAUAUAUACAUACGAGCACUCUGUCAGUUAUGACGAUGAGGGUCCUGGCUGAUACGAUCAAUGAAACAGCUUGCGCAUAAAUUUAAAUUGUGCAAGUGGUUGAGCACUCCACAGACAUGUGCACCCUUAACGUAGUUCUCAGGGAGAUUUAGCAUAAGACGGAGUGUGACAAAGCUGGCCUUUUGAAAUACAGG
Octopus sinensis (East Asian common octopus) is the source of this 211-nucleotide long non-coding RNA. RefSeq lists it as uncharacterized. The record is from RefSeq and is a predicted model, not a curated record. Lineage: Eukaryota; Metazoa; Mollusca; Cephalopoda; Octopoda; Octopodidae. The transcript is spliced from 3 exons.